UGGGGAAUAUUGGGCAAUGGGCGCAAGCCUGACCCAGCAACGCCGCGUGAGGGAAGAAGGUCUUCGGAUUGUAAACCUCUGUCCUUGGGGACGAAAAAAAUGACGGUACCCAAGGAGGAAGCUCCGGCUAACUACGUGCCAGCAGCCGCGGUAAUACGUAGGGAGCGAGCGUUGUCCGGAAUUAAUGGGCGUAAAGGGUGCGUAGGCGGCGCUGCAAGUCAGAUGUGAAAUCCCCGGGCUUAACCCGGGGGGUGCAUUUGAAACUGCAGUGCUUGAGGGCAGGAGAGGAAAGCGGAAUUCCUAGUGUAGCGGUGAAAUGCGUAGAUAUUAGGAAGAACACCAGUGGCGAAGGCGGCUUUCUGGACUGUAACUGACGCUGAGGCACGAAAGCGUGGGGAGCAAACA
Molecule: ribosomal RNA, 405 nt
Filed under: uncultured prokaryote
Description: bacterial SSU rRNA
Rfam family: Bacterial small subunit ribosomal RNA
Source: RNAcentral